CGAUGGAGGGGGAUAACUACUGGAAACGGUAGCUAAUACCGCAUAACGUCUACGGACCAAAGUGGGGGACCUUCGGGCCUCACACCAUCGGAUGUGCCCAGAUGGGAUUAGCUGGUAGGUGGGGUAAUGGCUCACCUAGGCGACGAUCCCUAGCUGGUCUGAGAGGAUGACCAGCCACACUGGAACUGAGACACGGUCCAGACUCCUACGGGAGGCAGCAGUGGGGAAUAUUGCACAAUGGGCGCAAGC
Molecule: ribosomal RNA, 249 nt
Filed under: Erwinia amylovora
Lineage: Bacteria; Pseudomonadati; Pseudomonadota; Gammaproteobacteria; Enterobacterales; Erwiniaceae
Description: partial 16S ribosomal RNA
Rfam family: Bacterial small subunit ribosomal RNA
Source: RNAcentral